RNAcentral lists this ribosomal RNA (245 nucleotides) under uncultured Nitriliruptor sp. RNAcentral's name for it is "partial 16S ribosomal RNA". It matches the Rfam family "Bacterial small subunit ribosomal RNA", at positions 524 to 768 of the family's 1533-position model. The record is from RNAcentral. Lineage: Bacteria; Bacillati; Actinomycetota; Nitriliruptoria; Nitriliruptorales; Nitriliruptoraceae.
UACAUAGGGGGCAAGCGUUGUCCGGAAUUAUUGGGCGUAAAGCGCAUGUAGGCGGCCAUGUAAGUCGGAUGUGAAAUCCCGAGGCUCAACUUCGGAACUGCAUCCGAUACUGCAUGGCUUGAGGAAGGUAGAGGAGAGUGGAAUUCCCGGUGUAGCGGUGGAAUGCGCAGAUAUCGGGAGGAACACCAGCGGCGAAGGCGGCUCUCUGGGCCUUUCCUGACGCUGAGAUGCGAAAGCGUGGGUAG